UUUCUGGGACUGUCACUCAAAAAAGAGAACAAUCCCGGGAAAACCGGGACAAGUGGCAACCCUAGAGGAAGCACAAUUACUUACUAGUAGUGACAAGUAGUCUUAAAAUGGUGCCUUUGUUUUUAACCAUUAUCCAUUCAGUCACACACUAUUCCACAAUUCAGUUUCAUUUAGGAAAAAAAAAAAAAUCAAUUUCACAGUAAUGUGCUCAUAUGACAGCAGAUGGUCCACCUUAAUGUGAUCUAAAUAAAUACUGGGUUCUAAUGUUGAAUUGCCCAAUUCAUGUAUUUACCUUUUAUAGCCCAAUUUAGCAAUUACUUAUGUCUGGGUUUAGAUUAGACUUGGUUGCUGACCUAGAUAUUCAUGCAAGGCAUGUAAAGAUAAGAAUCUCUGUUGGACUGAAUACAUUAUUCUAAUGAGCGGGAGGCUCGAGCCUCCAGGUGAGCAGCUGGGAACCUACCGGAAACAGAAGGAGGAACAGAGGCAGGCGUGAGCAGAACUCUGCCAAAUUUGACAAAAUGUGUCGGUAGUCCUGAAGAAUCAGUUGGAGACCGAAAGGGGAGAAUUUGAUUCCACUUAAAGUGGUAUAUAUGAGUCACGAAUGGAUCCUAAUUCAAACCUAAUCAAGAAAGGAUUGUUUUACUUUUUACUGGUCUGUGUUUGUCUGAUACAUAAAGUGAGUAUUUUGUGGGCUGUUGAAAGAGUGAAUUUAACUCACCAGAAUGAUCUUGAAAACGGGAGCAGCGGGAUAAUGCUGGCGAAAUGGGAGACCCGUUCCCAAGCCGAACAGCAAGUCCAGUUAAACAACACAUCCGUAGAGCCGAGUGAAGCAUGGGCUGUCCGCAGAUCAAGGGGUAGGGGCCACUUCUAUGGUUAAAGCUAGCAAUAUAUCUAUGUCUAUAUCUAUUGAUAUUUCUGCAUACACAACUAAACGAC
Molecule: long non-coding RNA, 936 nt
Organism: Ictalurus punctatus (channel catfish)
Lineage: Eukaryota; Metazoa; Chordata; Actinopteri; Siluriformes; Ictaluridae
Exons: 4
Source: RefSeq, a predicted model, not a curated record